RNAcentral lists this ribosomal RNA (465 nucleotides) under uncultured bacterium. RNAcentral describes it as "bacterial SSU rRNA". It matches the Rfam family "Bacterial small subunit ribosomal RNA", at positions 335 to 793 of the family's 1533-position model. The record is from RNAcentral.
AUCCUCGGGAGGCAGCAGUGGGGAAUAUUGCACAAUGGGGCGCAAGCCUGAUGCAGCCAUGCCGCGUGUAUGAAGAAGGCCUUCGGGUUGUAAAGUACUUUCAGCAGUGAGGAAGGUGGGUAUGUUAAUAGCAUACUCAUUUGACGUUAGCUGCAGAAGAAGCACCGGCUAACUCCGUGCCAGCAGCCGCGGUAAUACGGAGGGUGCGAGCGUUAAUCGGAAUUACUGGGCGUAAAAGCGCAUGCAGGUGGUUUGUUAAGUCAGAUGUGAAAGCCCGGGGCUCAACCUCGGAAUUGCAUUUGAAACUGGCAAACUAGAGUACUGUAGAGGGGGUAGAAUUUCAGGUGUAGCGGUGAAAUGCGUAGAGAUCUGAAGGAAUACCGGUGGCGAAGGCGGCCCCCUGGACAGAUACUGACACUCAGAUGCGAAAGCGUGGGGAGCAAACAGGAUUAGAUACCCUGGUAG